AACGAACGCUGGCGGCAUGCCUAACACAUGCAAGUCGAACGAGACCUUCGGGUCUAGUGGCGCACGGGUGCGUAACGCGUGGGAAUCUACCCUCAGGUUCGGAAUAACUCAGAGAAAUUUGAGCUAAUACCGGAUGAUGACGUAAGUCCAAAGAUUUAUCGCCUGAGGAUGAGCCCGCGUAGGAUUAGGUAGUUGGUGAGGUAAAGGCUCACCAAGCCGACGAUCCUUAGCUGGUCUGAGAGGAUGAUCAGCCACACUGGGACUGAGACACGGCCCAGACUCCUACGGAAGGCAGCAGUGGGGAAUAUUGGACAAUGGGCGAAAGCCUGAUCCAGCAAUGCCGCGUGAGUGAUGAAGGCCUUAGGGUUGUAAAGCUCUUUUACCCGGGAUGAUAAUGACAGUACCGGGAGAAUAAGCUCCGGCUAACUCCGUG
RNAcentral lists this ribosomal RNA (433 nucleotides) under uncultured bacterium. RNAcentral's name for it is "partial 16S ribosomal RNA". It matches the Rfam family "Bacterial small subunit ribosomal RNA", at positions 29 to 507 of the family's 1533-position model. The record is from RNAcentral.